AUACGGAGGGUGCAAGCGUUACACGGAAUCACUGGGCGUAAAGCGCGCGCAGGCGGCUUGAUAAGUUGGAUGUGAAAGCCUACGGCUCAACCGUAGAACUGCAUCCAAAACUGUCAGGCUAGAGUGUGGGAGAGGAAGAUGGAAUUAGUUGUGUAGGGGUAAAAUCCGUAGAGAUAACUAGGAAUACCAAAAGCGAAGGCAAUCUUCUGGAACACUACUGACGCUGAGGCGCGAAGGCGUGGGGAGCAAACAGGAUUAGAAACCCUGGUAGUCC
RNAcentral lists this ribosomal RNA (274 nucleotides) under uncultured bacterium. RNAcentral describes it as "partial 16S ribosomal RNA". It matches the Rfam family "Bacterial small subunit ribosomal RNA", at positions 523 to 796 of the family's 1533-position model. The record is from RNAcentral.